This is a long non-coding RNA of Hypomesus transpacificus, 418 nucleotides long. RefSeq lists it as uncharacterized. NCBI's taxonomy places the organism in Eukaryota, Metazoa, Chordata, Actinopteri, Osmeriformes, Osmeridae. The record is from RefSeq and is a predicted model, not a curated record. The transcript has 3 exons.
UCAUCUACUCUUCCUACUCCCUCUCCCUCUUCACAUCCUAUGACUCCCUCCCACUCUUUCUGUUCUCCUGCUCUUCCCUCCCAUUCUUUCUCCGCACCUCCCUUCCCCAGUCCCUCGCUCUCUUUACCUCCUUCACCAACCCUCUCUCUAUGUUACCCACUUUCUACUUCUUCCCACAUCUCUUCUCCUCAAGGUCUUCCCAAAAAUCAUUCCCCGGGAAAAAGAAAAAGAAUUUAAGGCUGCAAUUUCCUGUUUAAAAAGAGGGACGUUCAAAGCAGUGUAAAAGAAUGGGAGGAUACCUGGAAGUCUGCUGUUAAUAUUUCUGUGCCUAGCUGCCUGGUUAUUGUUUAAAGAGUUCCCAAUUCUAUAUUUGUUAUUGAUAUACACUGUAACAUGUUAUGAGCUUAUUAUUAUUAUU